This 231-nucleotide ribosomal RNA is filed under the name uncultured bacterium. RNAcentral's name for it is "partial 16S ribosomal RNA". It matches the Rfam family "Bacterial small subunit ribosomal RNA", at positions 28 to 258 of the family's 1533-position model. The record is from RNAcentral.
GACGAACGCUGGCGGCGUGCUUAACACAUGCAAGUCGAGCGGUAAGGCCUUUUCGGGGGUACGACGAGCGGCGAACGGGUGAGUAACACGUGGGUGACCUGCCCUCAGCUCUGGGAUAAGCCGUGGGAAACUGGGUCUAAUACCGGAUAUGACUCCAUGACGCAUGUUGUGGGGUGGAAAGCCUUGUGCGGCUGAGGAUGGGCCCGCGGCCUAUCAGCUUGUUGGUGGGGU